UACGAAGGUGGCAAGCGUUGUGCGGAAUUAUUGGGCGUAAAGCGCGCGCAGGCGGCAUCGUAAGUCCGAUGUGAAAGCGCGCGGCUCAACCGGGGAGGGCCAUUGGAAACUGGGAGGCUUGAGUAUAGGAGAGAAGAGUGGAAUUCCACGUGUAGCGGUGAAAUGCGUAGAUAUGUGGAGGAACACCAGUGGCGAAGGCGACUCUUUGGCCUAUAACUGACGCUGAGGCGCGAAAGCGUGGGGAGCAAACAGG
This 253-nucleotide unclassified non-coding RNA is filed under the name uncultured Caryophanales bacterium. RNAcentral describes it as "uncultured Bacillales bacterium contains 16S-23S intergenic spacer region". It matches the Rfam family "Bacterial small subunit ribosomal RNA", at positions 524 to 776 of the family's 1533-position model. The record is from RNAcentral. Lineage: Bacteria; Bacillati; Bacillota; Bacilli; Caryophanales.